This 468-nucleotide ribosomal RNA is filed under the name uncultured bacterium. RNAcentral describes it as "partial 16S ribosomal RNA". It matches the Rfam family "Bacterial small subunit ribosomal RNA", at positions 28 to 507 of the family's 1533-position model. The record is from RNAcentral.
GACGAACGCUGGCGGCGUGCUUAACACAUGCAAGUCGAACGGAAAGGCCCUGCUUUUGUGGGGUGCUCGAGUGGCGAACGGGUGAGUAACACGUGAGUAACCUGCCCUUGACUUUGGUAUAACUUCAGGAAACUGGGGCUAAUACCGGAUAGGAGCUCCUGCUGCAUGGUGGGGGUUGGAAAGUUUCGGCGGUUGGGGAUGGACUCGCGGCUUAUCAGCUUGUUGGUGGGGUAGUGGCUUACCAAGGCUUUGACGGGUAGCCGGCCUGAGAGGGUGACCGGCCACAUUGGGACUGAGAUACGGCCCAGACUCCUACGGGAGGCAGCAGUGGGGAAUAUUGCACAAUGGGCGGAAGCCUGAUGCAGCAACGCCGCAUGCGGGAUGACGGCCUUCGGGUUGUAAACCGCUUUCGCCUGUGACGAAGCGUGAGUGACGGUAAUGGGUAAAGAAGCACCGGCUAACUACGUG